This is a long non-coding RNA of Eriocheir sinensis (Chinese mitten crab), 939 nucleotides long. RefSeq lists it as uncharacterized. The transcript is spliced from 4 exons. Lineage: Eukaryota; Metazoa; Arthropoda; Malacostraca; Decapoda; Varunidae. The record is from RefSeq and is a predicted model, not a curated record.
AGCAUUACGUUGUGUCUAGUGAGAGAUAACAACCCCCGAAACGACUUACAGGUGUGAAGGUGUCGACAGGCUGAUGAAAAACGGGACUUUGCCGGAGAGAGCGCCGCUGAUAUCCCCCAACGAAGGCUCACAUAUCGACGCUAAAUCCACACUCCACCAUCGCGUACUCUAUUCCAGGCAUCCCUAGGGUUUCUAGAGCAUUAGGUCGUGUGUAAAGGGAGAUAAGUAACUCAGAAACUAACGUAUGUGUGUGAAGAUAUCGAGAAGAUGAUGGAAAACGGGACUUCGGUGGAGACUGGAGAGAUUGACGCGGAUAUGCCAAGGGUAGGAGGUUAUCGCUUCCUCACCCGAUUGCAAGAAACCACAGUCGCUCUUGAGUCACGUUAAGGGAAAGGUUUGUUGCCUCUCCGCUCCGCUCUCUCCAGUGUGCUCCAUCCUCCCACGCCGAAGACUGAGAUCUCCUGUGACGUGCCCAGCCGACUUUUUUGUGCUAUACUCUCAAUUUCUCAAACUGGCUCACGGUGCGGAAGAAUGGUCAAACUACCCCUAGAGUCAUAAAGCUACCCCUGGAAAUACCCACAGCCCUUACGGAAGCCUUGUCAAAUAUGGGUGUGUAGGCCUAGACGUAUUUGAGAUAUGGUCCCUGGGCUUUCAUUAACUAAGAUGGAGACUGGCGCUAAGGGAGGAGAAACAAUGUGGAGAGGAUCAGCGAGAGGAACGGAGAACGUGAACUUUUGCAGACAUAUGAGAAUGAAUAGUCCACGGCAUGACACCAAUAUGAUAAUCUGAAGAGCACCGGCGCCGUGGCCAGGCCCAGCUUGAGGUCUGCCGCUGUGGGCUUCCCGAGGAUGUUGGACGAGGCCACGAAGUCCAGCAUAUCGUCCACCAGCUGGAAGGCAAUACCCACGUUGCGGCCGUACUGGAAAGCCACCUCCUGCA